RNAcentral lists this transfer RNA (91 nucleotides) under Candidatus Coprenecus merdipullorum. Its description in RNAcentral is "tRNA-Ser". It matches the Rfam family "tRNA". From Rfam's summary of the family: Transfer RNA (tRNA) molecules are approximately 80 nucleotides in length. Their secondary structure includes four short double-helical elements and three loops (D, anti-codon, and T loops). The record is from RNAcentral. Lineage: Bacteria; Pseudomonadati; Bacteroidota; Bacteroidia; Bacteroidales; Rikenellaceae.
GGAGAGAUGCCGGAGUGGUCGAACGGGGCAGUCUCGAAAACUGUUGAACUCCUUGUGGGUUCCGGGGGUUCGAAUCCCCCUCUCUCCGCCA